AGUGAACGCUGGCGGUAGGCCUAACACAUGCAAGUCGAACGGCAGCACAGUAAGAGCUUGCUCUUACGGGUGGCGAGUGGCGGACGGGUGCGGAAUACAUCGGAAUCUACUUUUUCGUGGGGGAUAACGUGGGGGAACUUACGCUAAUACCGCAUACGACCUACGGGGGAAAGCAGGGGAUCUUCGGCCCUUGCGCGAUUGUAUGAGCCUAUGUCGGAUUAGCUAGUUGGCGGGGUAAAGGCCCACCAAGGCGACGAUCCGUAGCUGGUCUGAGAGGAUGAUCAGCCACACUGGAACUGAGACACGGUCCAGACUCCUACGGGAGGCAGCAGUGGGGAAUAUUGGACAAUGGGCGAAAGCCUGAUCCAGCCAUACCGCGUGGGUGAAGAAGGCCUUCGGGUUGUAAAGCCCUUUUGUUGGGAAAGAAAAGCAGCAGGUUAAUACCCCGCUGUUCUGACGGUACCCAAAGAAUAAGCACCGGCUAACUUCGUG
Molecule: ribosomal RNA, 492 nt
Filed under: uncultured bacterium
Lineage: Bacteria
Description: partial 16S ribosomal RNA
Rfam family: Bacterial small subunit ribosomal RNA
Source: RNAcentral